Molecule: transfer-messenger RNA, 399 nt
Filed under: pig gut metagenome
Rfam family: transfer-messenger RNA
About the family: Bacterial tmRNA, also known as 10Sa RNA or SsrA, is named for its dual tRNA and mRNA-like properties. Its role is to liberate the mRNA from a stalled ribosome.
Source: RNAcentral
GGGGAUGACCGGUUUUGACAGCGUGUAGAGGGGGCGCGUAAGCAUGCAGAGCGAUGAUGGCUAUGCUCUUUAAUCUCAGACAUCAAAAAAUUUAACUGGCGAAAAUAACUACGCUCUCGCUGCCUAAUUGAAGUACAGUAGAUUAGCUUAAUUUCCACCACAGUGGCGGAAACGAGACAUCACCCGAUUGCCUUGCCUUGAGACGUUUCGAUAAGGUGGUGCUUGGAAAUUCAAGGAUAGGGAUAGCUCCGCUCCGUGGCUUGACCGAAAUUUUAGGAGAUAAGCUGCGGGUUGGCGGCUUCAUGCCUGCCCACAGACGACAACCAACUUGAAGAUAAGCAUGUAGAAAGCGUGUUCGUUCCGCGUUUGGACGAGAGUUCGAAUCUCUCCAUCUCCACC